GGAAUCAACGCUGGCGGCGUGCCUAACACAUGCAAGUCGAACGAGAAAGUGGAGCAAUCCAUGAGUAAAGUGGCGACCGGGUGAGUAACACGUGACUAACCUACCUUCGAGUGGGGGAUAACCUCGGGAAACCGAGGCUAAUACCGCAUAACAUCGUGAGAUCAAAGCAGUAAUGCGCUGGAAGAGGGGGUCGCGGCUGAUUAGCUAGUUGGCGGGGUAAUGGCCCACAAGGCGAAGAUCGGUA
RNAcentral lists this ribosomal RNA (244 nucleotides) under uncultured bacterium. RNAcentral's name for it is "partial small subunit ribosomal RNA". It matches the Rfam family "Bacterial small subunit ribosomal RNA", at positions 27 to 285 of the family's 1533-position model. The record is from RNAcentral.